AGUGAACGCUGGCGGUAGGCCUAACACAUGCAAGUCGAACGGCAGCACAGUAAGAGCUUGCUCUUACGGGUGGCGAGUGGCGGACGGGUGAGGAAUACAUCGUAAUCUACUUUUUCGUGGGGGAUAACGUAGGGAAACUUACGCUAAUACCGCAUACGACCUACGGGUGAAAGCAGUGGAUCUUCGGACUUUGCGCGAUUGAAUGAGCCGAUGUCGGAUUAGCUAGUUGGCGGGGUAAAGGCCCACCAAGGCGACGAUCCGUAGCUGGUCUGAGAGGAUGAUCGGCCACACUGGACCGGAGACACGGUCCAGACUCCUACGGGGGGCAGCAGUGGGGAAUAUUGGACAAUGGGCGCAAGCCUGAUCCAGCCAUACCGCGUGGGUGAGGAAGGCCUUCGGGUUGUAAAGCCCUUUUGUUGGGAAAGAAAAGCAGCAGGUUAAUACCCCGCUGUUCUGACGGUACCCAAAGAAUAAGCACCGGCUAACUUCGUG
This 492-nucleotide ribosomal RNA is filed under the name uncultured bacterium. Its description in RNAcentral is "partial 16S ribosomal RNA". It matches the Rfam family "Bacterial small subunit ribosomal RNA", at positions 29 to 507 of the family's 1533-position model. The record is from RNAcentral.